This is a long non-coding RNA of Homarus americanus (American lobster), 216 nucleotides long. RefSeq lists it as uncharacterized. NCBI's taxonomy places the organism in Eukaryota, Metazoa, Arthropoda, Malacostraca, Decapoda, Nephropidae. The transcript is spliced from 3 exons. The record is from RefSeq and is a predicted model, not a curated record.
GCCUAGCGACAUUUGAAAAUCCGAGUUGGCAACCCUGCAGCCUUCACUGAUAGUCGCCUGAUUCACCUUGAACCGUAGCAGCGUUCUUUGAUAGCCUGAACAAGAAUCCUGGAGUACGAUUAAUUUUGAGAGAUCUCAAGACCAGACUACACUGCACACAUGGAAAGUGGCUGCUGAAGGCUUCCGGGACAUGGCAGAGGACGAGAUUAGGGAGCU